Molecule: non-coding RNA, 112 nt
Organism: Acanthosepion pharaonis
Lineage: Eukaryota; Metazoa; Mollusca; Cephalopoda; Sepiida; Sepiidae
Source: the annotation of a GenBank genome assembly
UAUGGCUAUAUCAAACUGAAACACCGGUUAUCAUACAGUCACCAAAGUUAAGCAAUGUCUAGCUUGUUCAGUACUUAGAUGGGUGACUGCAUGUGAUUACCAGGUGCUGUGG